RNAcentral lists this long non-coding RNA (11005 nucleotides) under Homo sapiens (human). Its description in RNAcentral is "HSALNT0343594". Lineage: Eukaryota; Metazoa; Chordata; Mammalia; Primates; Hominidae. The record is from RNAcentral.
CCUUGGGAUCUGCCUGCCUUGGCCUCCCAAAGUGCUGGGAUUACAGGCGUGAGCCACUGCACCUGGCAUAAUUUUGGCUACUCUUAAUCAACCCCAGAAGGUUUAAUAAGAACUUUGAUUAGCUACUUUCUAGCUUCAUGAAUUUACCAAGCUAUUCCUGGUUUUGCACCUUUAAGAAACUCAUUUUUUAAAUCUGAUGAAUAUAUGUCCAUAAGAAGCUUUACUUGGUUAAAAUUAAAUACAUACAAAAUUGACAGAAAAAUUAUUUUGUCAAAGAAAAAUGAACGAAGAGUAGUGUCAUUUUUCAUUGUCACAUUCAUUUCUCUAAGAAAUGGAUCUGUCCUUCAACAUCUCCUCCUAGCCCAUACUGUUUGAAUAUAGAGGGCUCUUGGGCCAUGGUCCGGGGAUUAUUUAUAAUCAGCAACAAGGGGUUACAGUGUCAUGGCUUACAAUUUGGUGGGGUGGGACCAGGGACUAGUUGGAGUUUUUUGUUUUGGUCGUCAUAAUUUAUUUGAAGCAGGGAGCUUGGCUCUCCACCCUUUGUACUUAUUAGUCCACCAAACAUCUGCCCAGUCACCACUGGGACUUUUAACACUCCAUACUUAUACAUGCUUGAUUUUUUGUGGUAUAGACAUAGACACUUAUCAACAUGGGCUAGCUUCUUUUGACCUUGCUCAUCUCCAUACGGGAUGACUGAACAGGCAUCAAACUGAAGGGUUAAAAAAUGACUAGCCUGAGUUACACUGAUGACAAGAUGACCUUCUGUUGAAAAGAAAAAAGAGAAUAAAUAAGUGAUUAUUAAGCUCUUUUUAGAGUUAAUUUGGUGGGGGUGGGCUGUGGAGUGACAGUUCAUGAUUCUGGAGGUGGCGGCACCUUCUUGACUCGGGUGUGAUGAGUCCAUCCUCUUUCUGUUGUCCAGACUGCAGUCUCAGUACAUAGGAGCACUAGGUAGGGUCCUUCCCAGGCUGGUUCGAGCUUCCUUUUCUUCUACCCUUGGAUGAGAACAUGGUCUCAAGGCCAAUGCUGAUGUUCUGGAAACUCCAGGGGUGAUGCCUGUGCUAGGAGACCUUUAGUCCCAAGGGAAAAGAAGGUAGAGCCUAGACCAAGUAUAUAAUUUUUGAGGAAAUGAUCCUUUGUUUCAAACAUAGGGAUGUCAGCAAUGGAGUGUAAGUAGGGCAUUCCAUAGAGCGUUUCCUCAGGUGACAGGCCAAUAUCUUUCCAAGGGGCAGUCCGGAUUCUUAACCAAGCAAUAGGAGUAUAUUUAGUCCAUGGCAAUCGAGUUUCUAAAACUAAGUUAAGUGGUUUAUUAGAGUCUGAUUCAUCCACUCUACUCUUCCUGUGGAGGAUGGAUGCCAAGGAGUAUGGUAUUCCCAAUGUAUAUCUAGUACCUGUGCUAACUUCUUAAUGACAUGCACAGUGAAAUGGGUUGCAGUAUCUGAAUCAGUAUUUUCUAUUAGUUCAAAUCUGGGUAUGAUGUUUUCAAUUAGCGCUUUAACUACAUUACUGGAGGUUGCACGUGAGAAUGGGAUUGCCUCUACCCAGUGGGUAAAAUGGUCUAUUAUUACUAAUAAGUAUAACUACCAAUUGGAGGCAUUUCAGUGUAAUUGAUCUGAACACUUUGAAAUGGUCUCAGUGCUGGAUUUCUUCCACCAAGGCGCAAUUUCCUUAGAUCCUGCUUAUUAGCUUUUUUUACAUGUUAAGCAACUAUCUAUAACUUGUUUGGCCAGGGUGUAAAUUCUUAUACACCCAUAAACCCGGAGAACUGCAUUGCACAUUGCUUGGGGUCCCCAAUGGGUCCCUUGAUGUAAUUGAGACAAGACUUCCCUCAUGAGAGGUUUUGACAACAUUUCCCUUUGAUCUGAUAAUAUCCAUUUCCUAUCCGCAUUUUCUUUAGCUCCUAUUUUUAUCAACGUCUUUUGUUCAAUGGAAGAGAAAACGGGUUACAGUAGGAGGAGGGCAUGGAGUUAAAUGGAAGAAAUGGCAACUUGUUUUGCUAUUUUAUUGUAACCGACUGAGUUAUAGAGAGAAUGCCACAGUCUGAGACUAAUUCAGUGAUCCUUUAUUGCCAGCAACCGAGAGACGGCUAGAGCUCAAAAUUCUCUCAGCCCCGAAGAAGGGGCUACACAUCUUUUUACACCUUGGUCUAAAGAGGGGAGGAGGAGUGUAGCUGAAGCAAUUUUUUACAGAAGCAGAACAGGCAAAAAAGUUGAAAGAUAAAUGGUUACAGAAACAGUAAUAAGAAAAUAAACAGUUCCAGGUGCAGGGGCUUAAAUUAUCACAAAGUGAUAAACGCAAAGGCUUUGGGCACCGUCAACCGAGUGCGUUCCCAGGAGCUGCUGGUACAGCUUGCCUCAGUAUCUUAUCAGUAAGCGCAUUCUUGGAUGUGCUUGGAGUCAGCUUGCACCAGUUAUGUCCUUAAGGGAGGGGGACAAGGGGCUGCAAGUGAAGAAACCAAAAUGGAGUCUGUCCAGCUCUCUCAGCUAAGAGAGAGUCAAUCAGGUUAAAAGAAGUUAGGGUAUCACAUUUCCCACUCGUGUUUGGGGGAAUCAGAUCAUUGAUUCCUCGGUUAUAACAAGGGUGUUAUAUUGGGUUCUAAGAUACAUAAGAUUGACAGAAGCUAUGCGUUGCUUUACAAAAUUAAGAAACCAAUUUAAUAUACAAGGCCUGAAGACUAACCCUAACAAGAGGAGGAGAAGGGGGUCCCGCCAACCCAGUAAUUAGAGUAGUUAGCCAGGGAUUCCAGUUAAACAUGCUUUGGUACUUUGGUACUCCAGGAAUGAGAAAGGUGGUGUUACUUUCUUGUUCCUUCUGGCAUCUAUCUAGAUUUUCUCGAACUCUUUGAAGAGUAUUUUUUAUGACUCCAGACUGAUUGGCAUAGAAACAACAACUUUCUUCUAGAGCUGUGCAUAAACCUCCUUGGGAGAUAAAUAGCAGAUCUAAGCCUCGGCGGUUUUGAAGAACUACUUCAGCUAGAGACUCUACCUGGGCAUGUAGUAUAUUUAUGGCUGAUUGGAGAUUGCUUAAAUCAGCAUCUACCUGUUGAGAUAGUGAUAUUAGUCCAGUUUCUCCUUGAAUCAGGGCAGUCGUGCCAAUAGCUGCUGACGUAGCUAUGCUAAGGCCAGCUAGAAGGGGUACAAGGAGUAGGGCAGCUCGGUGAAACCUGAAAUGCAAUUCAGGGGGAGCAAUGAGAAGUUGUCCUUCUGGCCCACUGUACAUGUAGAUCUGGGGGAGUACAUGAAUCAACAUGCAUAGGAGAGGUCCAGGUUCAGUCCCAUUGAUGCAGCGAGUGAGGCCUGAAAUGCAGGCCAACCAGGUAUUUUUGGGUGCCUGGUAGGAGACUGAGGGGUUUAAGGAAGUAAGGAGAGACUCACUACAAGUAGCCUGAAAGGGAGAAGCAGGUAAGUUAUACCUUGCGCUAAUUAGACAGAAGGCAUUCCCUGACACAUCUCCUAGUGUAAGGGCAUGGGGGCACGUAUGACAAGAAAGAGAGUCCAUUUUGAGCAUGGCUUCUACUCCUAAUCCAACAUAAUAUGGGGGUUUGGCCUUUCGGCACAACCAGCAAUCUCAGGCUAGUUUAGGCUUGGUGAGAUUAAGGAGGUGAUGUAUCCCGUCCAAAAUGGACAUCGGGCUGGGUUGGAGGUAUUGUCAUUGCAGCUGGGGUCUCAGAACCAGGAAUGGCAGUGGGACAGUUAAAUCGACUCUCUCUGGGUGUUUUUGGAACAUAGGGUCACCUAAAUCAGUUAAAGUUCUGAUUGGCUUCAUGGGACCAGGAAUUUUUUCUGGAUGGUGAACAUAGUUCCAACAUCAAAUCCUGAAAUAUAAAGCCUUAAUCCCUAUGACAUGCUGUAAUACCAUUGAGUUAAACUAGGGUUACGGAGAGUUAUAGUAAGAGGAUUACAAUUUCCUAUAGUACACGGCUUAGGAUGGGAAGCACAAGCUAUGGAAAGGGUUGAGGAUCAGGUUCAUCCUCCAGAGUAAGUGGCCAAGGUUACACACAUGCAGUAAGGGCAGAAAAACUGGUAAGAAUCUCGACAACUAGAGUCAGGGCGAUUUCCAGGACAAAGGUAAAAGUCAACGCUCUGGAGCCUUUUUUCUGCACCCUUAGAACUUCCACAUCCAGUUUGGCUUCUGGUGUGUCCGAACCCUGCAGCAAGGUCAGCGUUCCCUGCUCUCAUGAUCGGCAGAUUGCAUUGCUCUUCAAGGGUAUGGGCAGGGUCGGGGAACAAAGCACAUAAACCGACUACAAAAGAGACUUCCUUGGAGGGUCCCACCUUCCAAGUGGUGUUUGCAAACACACAUCCUGUCAUGAAGGAAGUGAGGAGAAAAGAGUAGGAAGGGGCAGAGGACAUAACAGGUGGAAACAGACAGAAGAGGUAAAUAAAAAGAAUUAAUUCGAUAGCUUUACUCAACUUAGGCGCAGUUUUAAGGGGCCUGGCCUAGGCUUGGGGACCCAUUUUUUUUGCUGGGCUUUGUUGGCCUUUUUGAUGCGAGAAUGAUGAAUCCAAGCAGGAGUGCCGUCCACCUUCAGAGCUGUUGGUGUGGUGAGGAUGACAGUAUGAGGUCCUUUCCAGGCAGGAGUCAGUCCUUUUUUCUGGAACUUUUUAACAUACACUAGGUCACCCAGCUGGAAAGAGUGGCAGGGCCCAGUCUGGUCAGGAACUGGGCUGGGGUGUGCUCCCCUGACAAGCAGCUGGAUGAUGUCUUGUACCCGUUGGAGAGACUGCAGGUACUGUAACAAGUUAGCUUGUGAGAUUUCUGCUAAAUGGGUAUCCUUUAGCUUAGGCAAGAUAGGCGGAGCCCUUCCAUACAUGAUUUCAAAAGGUGAAAACCCAGCCUGGUAAGGGGUGCAUCUUACUCUAAGAAGGGCUAAAGGAAGGAGCUUUACCUAGUUUUCACUGGUUUCUAGGAUUAAUUUUGCAAGAGUACUUUUUAGGAUGGGGUUCAUGCAUUCUACUUGUCCAGAGCUCUGGGGUCGAUAGGCACAAUGGAGUUUCCAUUGAAUGUUUAAUGCCUUGCUGACCGACUGAGCUAUGGACGAGGUGAAGGCUGGUCCAUUAUCAGACCUUAUUACAACAGGCAGUCCAUGUUGAGGGAUGAUUUCAUUGAGUAAAAGCUUAACUACCGUGGUAGCAGUUUCGUUUUUGGUGGCAAAUGCCUCAGUCCAUCCAGAAAAGGUGUCUACUAGCACCAGGAGGUAUUUAUACCCUGCCAAGUGUGGUUUUACCUCUGUAAAGUCAAUUUCCCACCUUCCUCCUGGCAAGCCUCCCUGGAGGCGGUGGCCUGGGCUGGGCUUAGGACCUUGCUUGGUGUUUACUUGGGCACAAGCCGUUUACUGGAGAGCUGCUUGGUUAGUUAAGUCCUGAAGGUGGGGGAUCUUGAAAUGGCUCCUUAGAAGCUGGGCCAGUUUUACUCCUCCUAAAUGGGUGGUAGAAUGUAGAUGAUUGAUAAAAGUUUCCCCAAGGGCUUGGGGCAUGAAGAUUCUGGAAUCAGGAAGAAUUCACCAACCUUCCUGAUUUUUACUGGCUUGAAGAUCCGAAGCUUGUUUUUCUUCCUCUGGGGAGUAUUCUGGGUAGUCUGCCCAGUCAGUUGUGGAAAGGACACAGAGGGCAGCAGGGUUAAAGGCACGACCAGGAGCUGAGCUGCCUCUCAAGCUGCAGAGUCUGCUCUUUGGUUACCACGAGCAAUGGCCAUGUCUUCUCUUUGAUGUCCUUUGCAGUGAAUUGCAGCCACCUGUUGAGGGAGCCAAACAGCUUCAAGCAGGGCUAAAAUUUCUUCUUUGUUGUUGACACUCUUUCCUGCUGAGGUAGGAAAUGCUGGGAAGAAAAAGCUGGGCCUUCUUGGCUGGGACCUGAUACCCGAAUUCCUGAAGGAGGUAAAGUAGGUCCGUAGUAUGUUGCAGGCAGCUGUCAGUAGUUUCAGUAGCCAAUAACAGGUCGUCUACAUACUGGAGAAGAGUGCAGUUAGGGUGACUGGCUCAGAAUGGUAAAAGAUCCUGUUGGAGGGCUUCCCUAAAAAGGGUGGGGGAAUUUUUAAAACUUCGGGGUAACCAAGUCCAGGUUAAUUGGGUGGUGUCUACCGAGCCAGGAUAUGUCUGUUCAAAAGCAAAGAUAGGUUGACUUUUGGGGCCAGAGGAAUAGCAAAAAAAAGCAUCCUUGAAGUCAAGGACAGUGUACACCAUAUGUUCUGGUGGGAGCAGGCUGAGUAAAGUAUAAGGGUUAGAGACAGUUGGAUGGACAGUGACUGUCUGCUUGUUACCUUCCUGCAAGUCCUGUACAGGCUGGUAAUCAUUUGUUCCGGGUUUCUGGACCGGCAAAAAUGGAAUAUUCCAGGCGAUCUCACAUGGUAUAUGGUCCCUCUCUUCAGAGGUGAAAAGGGAUGAAAGGAGUUGCUGACACUCAUCCCAGGUGGGCCGAGUGUCCAGAGUUUGCCUUUUUUAAGGCGGACCCCGUAAUCAUCUGAGAAGCCUAGAGAGAAAUUCUGCAACAUACACUGGAGAGGACUCCAAUCUUUAUGGGGCCGGGAAGAAGAGUUUACUAUUCUGGAGGCAAUUAACAAGGUUUGAACAAAAAUAUUAAACCCAGCAUGGACAAAGAUAUUCACGGCCUGGGAGGCUAUGGUAUCAGAAGAACAGAAGUAUUAUAGCUAGAAGAAGUAGGAAAACAACUAUAGCCAAUAUUUCUUGCCACAUAAGGUCUGUCUCCUCAAGCUUCGAGAUCUAUGGAGAGGAUAAGAGGUGGGUCCAAGGGAUCCUCAGCCAGUGGGACUUAGGUGACCCCCCCUUCUUGACUUAUAUCCCAAAUAACUUUGGUGUCUCCACGACUCGAAAGCAAAAUGUUCAAACUCGGUCCUUUCCUUCACGGGUUUAAGGAGGGAGAACACAGCCAAGUCUUAGAGACGCUGGACUUGCUGCAACACAGGAAAAUGAGAUGUGCAGGGUAAGGGAUGGGGAUGAGGAGGAAAGGGGCCACUUGGAUUUCCCUAAAGGUUGGAGAGUAGCCAAAAGAGGUAAAAUAAGAGUCCAGACAGAGUAGAGCAGUAUGGGUGUAGGUUUCUCUGCACAGUGCCUUAUUUAAGGGCAUGGGAAAAGUUAUGGGAUGACAGAAAAGGUGAGUAAGGAGGUCAGCAGGGUGGCUAUUUUGGAUCCACCACUGGUCUAAGGAGAAGGUGGACCAGUCGUUGGGGCGUGGGGUAUGGCAAUCCAAACGCCAGCAAUCUUUAUGGUGCCAGAAAUCCUAAACGGGUGAAUGUCUUCCACACCCUUCCCCAUAACAACACCUAAUUUGUUUCUGACAGGAAAGGCAGGACUGGGAUGGCCAGCCCAACCGACUAAUGAGGAAUUUGACCUCCUGGGAUAGAAAAUCUGUACUAAGGACCUUGAAGAAGUCCUUGCCCAGUCAUUUUGGGCAGUAUCGACGAUCCGACAUAUGAAAUUUAGACAGACACUAAACAGGACAAUAGGCACUGGGGUAUAUAAACAAGCAUGGCAAUUUUUAUAGACAGACAAGGGGAGGGGGUCCCGUGAUGGGAUCAGUCAGAUGCCCUCCUGGCUGCUCCCCUUUCGGGGACUUAGGCUCCUCUUGGCAUUGGCAGGCUGGUAUAAACCCCUGGCUUGGAUCGAGCUAUGCCUGAUGCCGCCCUAAGCCUUAUGAGGUCACCACGGAACCACAGGUGAGGGCCUUCUCGAAUUCCCUAGCUUUCACCCUGGAGCUACAAACUGGAAAUUCAAGCGCAAGCCCUUGAACUCCACAUUCACUCACUCACUCACUCACUCAGAGUUUAUUACAAUUUUUAUACCCAUUCUAAAACAGAGAUCUCCCGGAGACCUGAAUGAGAGAGGGAGAAGAGAUAGAGAGAGAGAGAGACUAGACUUAACAGAGAAUCCUGACAGAAACCAGGACUCUGUCCUCCAGUGUCCUGGAGCAUGGACAGAGUCUGAGGGAGGACCUUCGUCAGGGCCGUUUCCCUCCCAGAGAGACAGAGUCAGAUCUGACUUACCUUCCCGGGACUAGAGACUGAGGACUCAGGAGUUGAAUUUGGCUGGGCGCACCGGCAGUCGAUCCGUUCCCCUCCAGAAGACAGUGGCCUGUGGAGCCCUGGAACGUCUUCAGGUGGCCCUGUAAGCCAGCUGUCUGUCUGGGGAAGCCCGGAAUGAGUCAGGUCUUCACCCGGUGGCGAAUCUCUCUGGGGCUUCCAAAUGUCGUAACCGAGCAAGUCAUAGAGAGAAUGCCACACUCUGAGACUAAUUCAGGAGUCCUUUAUUGCUGGCGACUGAGAAAGAGCUAGAGCUUGAAAUUCUCUCGGUCCGGAAGAAGAGGCUAGAGUUCUUUUUAUACCUUGGCCUAAAGAGGGGAGGGGGAGUCUAGCUGAAGCAAUUUUUUACAGAAGCAGAACAGGAAAAAAUUAAAAGAUAAAUGGUUACAGAAACAGUUACAGGAAAAUAAACAGUUCCAGGUGCAGGGGCUUAAAGUAUCCCAAAGUGAUAAAAGCAGGGGCUUUGGAUACCACCAACCAAGUGUGCUCCCAGGAGCUGCUGGUACAGCUUGCCUCAGUAUCUUAUCAAUAAGCGCAUUCUUGGAUGUGCUUGGAGUCAGCUUGCACCAGUUAUGUCCUUAAGGAGGGGGACAAGGGGCUGCAAGCGAAGAAACCAAGCUAAGACUCUCUCAGCUAUUGACUCUCUCGAUAUUGACUCUCAAUUGAGUCUCCCAAGCUAUUGACUCUCUCAGCUAAGAAAGAGUCAAUCAGGAUAAAACAAGAUAGGGUAUCACAAUUUGAUCUGCAAGAUUAUUUCCUGGACUUGUGAAAGGCGAGUCGUUUUGGUGCCCUGGGACAUGUACAAUAGCUAUCUCUUCUGGCAAUUGGAGAUUGUUGAGGACACGAGCAUCAGUUCUCUAUGAACUAAAUCUUGGCCUCUACUAUUGAUAAGAGCCCUCUCCAUCCAAAUUUUCCCAAAUGUGUGUGCCUCCCCAGAGGGAUACUUAGAGUCAGUAUAGAUAGAUUUUCUUGGUUUUGUAAAUGUCCUAAAGCUUGGCUGAGUGCAAACAGUUCACACCCUUGGACAGACCAAUUAUUAGACCCCCUUCCUGAUUUUACUUUUUUAACAGUCUUUCCAUUAAUCACUGAAUACCUAUUAUGUCUCUUUCUUUUAAUCACCUGGGAGGUUCCAUCUAUGAAUAAGUGCCACCCUGUCUUGAAGGGAGUUUUUCCUAAGUCUGGUUGAACUUUCGUAUGGUAAUUAAUUCGAUUUAAACACGCGUGCUCUCUCGUUUUACGUUUGGAUCCCCCGUUAAAGAGCCUGCUGAAUAAAGUGAAUUAUUAGUACUUAAUAUUAAAUCACCUUUUUCCCAGAAAGAUAGCCUCAUAUUUUAAAAUUUUUGAGUUGGUAAUCUCCCUCCUUGCGUUUUGAUUUAAUAUAGUUUUAACUUGGUGGGUUGUGGCCUGAAGCGGCUGGGGAGUAACUUGAAACCUCAGCUGAAGGGACAGCACAGGCUGGGGCGUGGCCUGAAACAGCUGGGGAGUAACCUGAAACCACAGCCGGAGGGACCUGAGAGGGGAACCAAAGGGGCAGGAUUGGGGGCGCUGAAGGAAGGAAGGUGAUUUAGAGGAUCCCAUGUCUUGGUAGGUAUGGGUUGUCUAGGCAUGGGAACUCUUUCCUUUUUAGAAAGGUUGGUUUCUGAUUUUCUCCCUCCAGAGUCUAAAGGGUAAAGGAGAACUGGUCCCUGCCGCCAGCAGAGGGCGUAAUCGAUUUUUCCUGGGACACAGGGCUCUUACUGUUAACAUAUUUGAUUAACAGCUGACAAAUUCGCUCUUCAUUAGACUUAAAUUUUGGCCAGAAAAGUGAGGGCUUAAGGAUGGGUUCUCGAACUUAAAUAAAACAACAAUAUUCUAUCAUCUGCUGUUUUUGUUUAUACUUGGUUCUCUUAUUAUUUUUUCAAUACUUUAGCAUAAGCCCCAAGGGGCUAUCAGAAGGAAAUUCAUCACUCUCUAGACUCUUUAGUUUUCCUGUCUUACUUGAAACGUUCCCCAUCUUAGGGAUUAUGGGGAGGAGGCCCAACCCCUCCUGUGAGAUUUCUACCCUCCCCCUUCCUGGAGGCUUACUGAGGCUUUGGGGAAAGGCUCCAACCCAACCUGUUUGGAUUUCUACCCUCCCCCUUCCUCUUUGUCUACUCUGUCUGUUCCUGACUCUAGUUGACAGAUGGCAGCAUGAGGCCAUAGAGAAGACUCACUCACUCCACAUAACCACCAUACUAAGUCCCAUUCAUACACUGUCAGCCUCCAGCUUAUCCCAACCACCUGGGAAAUACUUUGUCACCUUCGCCAAGUCUCCUACCUUAUUCCAUGCACAAGAAUUUCCUGGUCCUCUUAUUGUUGCGGUCUUGCAAGCUUCUCCUCCCCGCUUUGCUGAGAUCCAGACUUAUUUGUCACAAAGCGGGGGGGGGGCCCUGAUCUCCCUCAACCUAGGGGCACGGUAACUAGACAGUAGGAUGCGUCCCCUCCGGGUGGGGUGACCGAAGGCCCCCUUCCCAAAGGAGAAGAUUCGAGCCCCAAAGUUGGGCUCCAGAACUGUUAGGAAUAACGCUCAAAAUCUUAAGGAAAUUGAACACUUGAACAAAGGAUUCUUAGCAAAGCAAUUUUACUUCUGCGCAGAGAGGUGCCUCCUUGUCCAGUCGCCAUGAGAGCACACCUGAAAAAGGGGCACGAGAGCCUUUACUCCUGACACAAGUACUGCCCCUGUACCCUUUCUCCAUUGGCCAGGGUCAGGUCGUACAAUCUAAACUAAUCCUGGUUGGCUAAACAUUGGAUUUUUUUUAGAUAAGGUGGGCACGUAAAAAAGGCAGAGAAUAAAGGGGAAGGGGUGUCUGUAAUGAGCUAAAAAGUUAGUCCUCUUUCCAAAUAAGGAAAGGAAUGUGAGCAGGUACAGAUACCACCUGGUACUGUGGCAUGCCUGGGCAUGUAACAAAGGAAAAAAGAGAAAAAAGGAGAAAAAGGAAAAAAGGUGGAGGGAUUA